GGGGGCCCGCACAAGCGGUGGAGCAUGUGGUUAAUUCGAAGCAACGCGAGGAACCUUACCAGGUCUUGACAUCCCGAUGCUAUUCUAGAGAUAGAAAGUUACUUCGGUACAUCGGUGACAGGUGGUGCAUGGUUGUCGUCAGCUCGUGUCGUGAGAUGUUGGGUUAAGUCCCGCAACGAGCGCAACCCCUAUUGUUAGUUGCCAUCAUUCAGUUGGGCACUCUAGCGAGACUGCCGGUAAUAAACCGGAGGAAGGUGGGGAUGACGUCAAAUCAUCAUGCCCCUUAUGACCUGGGCUACACACGUGCUACAAUGGUUGGUACAACGAGUUGCGAGUCGGUGACGGCGAGCUAAUCUCUUAAAGCCAAUCUCAGUUCGGAUUGUAGGCUGCAACUCGCCUACAUGAAGUCGGAAUCGCUAGUAAUCGCGGAUCAGCACGCCGCGGUGAAUACGUUCCCGGGCCUU
This 464-nucleotide ribosomal RNA is filed under the name uncultured Streptococcus sp. Its description in RNAcentral is "bacterial SSU rRNA". It matches the Rfam family "Bacterial small subunit ribosomal RNA", at positions 915 to 1382 of the family's 1533-position model. Lineage: Bacteria; Bacillati; Bacillota; Bacilli; Lactobacillales; Streptococcaceae. The record is from RNAcentral.